GAUGAACGCUGGCGGCGUGCCUAAUACAUGCAAGUCGAGCGAACAGACGAGGAGCUUGCUCCUCUGACGUUAGCGGCGGGCGGGUGAGUAACACGUGGAUAACCUACCUAUAAGACUGGGAUAACUUCGGGAAACCGGAGCUAAUACCGGAUAAUAUAUUGAACCGCAUGGUUCAAUAGUGAAAGACGGUUUUGCUGUCACUUAUAGAUGGAUCCGCGCCGCAUUAGCUAGUUGGUAAGGUAACGGCUUACCAAGGCAACGAUGCGUAGCCGACCUGUGAGGGUGAUCGGCCACACUGGAACUGAGACACGGUCCAGACUCCUACGGGAGGCAGCAGUAGGGAAUCUUCCGCAAAGGGCGAAAGCCUGACGGAGCAACGCCGCGUGAGUGAUGAAGGUCUUCGGAUCGUAAAACUCUGUUAUUAGGGAAGAACAAAUGUGUAAGUAACUAUGCACGUCUUGACGGUACCUAAUCAGAAAGCCACGGCUAACUACGUG
This 497-nucleotide ribosomal RNA is filed under the name uncultured bacterium. RNAcentral describes it as "partial 16S ribosomal RNA". It matches the Rfam family "Bacterial small subunit ribosomal RNA", at positions 28 to 507 of the family's 1533-position model. The record is from RNAcentral.